Molecule: long non-coding RNA, 1078 nt
Filed under: Ficedula albicollis (Collared flycatcher)
Lineage: Eukaryota; Metazoa; Chordata; Aves; Passeriformes; Muscicapidae
Description: lncRNA (ENSFALG00000027019.1)
Source: RNAcentral
GUUGACUUCAGAGAGGGUGAGUUUAAGCCAUGCUGCAUGGGGCAUUGCUGCUGUUAUAUGUGGCUUCAUUGCUUAUUCUCUGCUAUGGGGGACAGUGAUCAGCUGCUUCCUGCUGGCUGGGUGUAGUAUGGAGACGGUGUCUGUAAAAUCCCAAUACCUCCCUUUCCACACAGCUCCAGCUGGGACUCUGUGAUUUUCUCAUUUUUUAACAGGGAGAGGCUCAUUGACUACUUCUCCCUGAAUGUUUCCCUGCACCUUUGGACUCAACCCCAGGCAGCUCCCCACCAGUGCUCAGUUAAACCAGGGAAAGAGACACUGCAGUCAGGAGCUGCAAUCCAGCAGCUCACAUGGGGCCACUAUUGUUUCAGCAGCCACGGUUCCACCUAGGCAGACCUAAAGGAAACCUGUGCAUACUAAAGAGUAAAAGGCUUGAGAACAUUUGCAAAGGAAAGACACUUCCCUCUGGUUUCAACUCAAUGGGACUUGCUGACAUAGUACAAACAGAGAAAGAAGAAAACUACACCAAGUGCUUGCAAAAGGCCUGGCAGAGUUAUUACAAACACCAAGUUCCUGUAUCUAGCAUGUAAACACAUUGCUAAGUACUUGAGACAGCCCCACGCUCAGAGGGUGGCUGUCAGAAUAACUUUAACUUUCUGAAUUUUCUAGUCUAGAGAAACACCUGCUACUGAUGAAGCAGAUGAGACAGGCAAAGGAAAGAUGUGACUUGCCAUAUAUUAUGAUCCAAGCAACUGAGACAGAAUGAAAAAGAUCAGAAAACCAGUUGACACAUCAGCUGUGAGUUGUGGCACAGAAAAUAAGACCCCAAGAAUGUGAAGUAUCUAUGACAUAAAUGGGUAGAGUGGCUUGGCCACUUUUGGAUCAUUGGCUGUACUCAAUUGAGAGAAGCAACAAUUUUUUUCUUUGUUUUAAUUUAAGAUGUAUCAUUGGUCUUACCCAUUUUUGACAACUCUUUUUAUAUGUAGGGUGUCAGAUGACUCACAUCCUUAAACUGCCUGUCUCCCUCUGCUAAUUGUGAAACGAGUCUUGGUUGCACCCAGCCAUUUGGCCAGAUGAACAC